CAAUAGCGUAUAUUUAAGUUGUUGCAGUUACAAAGCUCGUAGUUGGAUUUCGGGUGGGACGCAGCGGUCUCGCAUUGCGUUUGUACUGCUGCAGCCCUCCUUCUUGCCGGGGGCGGCCUCUCGGACUUCACUGUCUGGGGGUCAGAAUCGGCGAUGUUACUUUGAGUAAAUUAGAGUGUUCAAAGCAAGCUUACGCUCUGAAUAUAAUAGCAUGGGAUAACACGACAGGACUCUGGCCUAUCGUGUUGGUCUAUAGGACCAGAGUAAUGAUUAAGAGGGACAGUCGGGGGCAUUCGUAUUCCGUUGUCAGAGGUGAAAUUCUUGGAUUUACGGAAGACGAACAUCUGCGAAAGCAUUUGCCAAGGAUGUUUUCAUUGA
Molecule: ribosomal RNA, 378 nt
Filed under: uncultured eukaryote
Lineage: Eukaryota
Description: partial 18S ribosomal RNA
Rfam family: Eukaryotic small subunit ribosomal RNA
Source: RNAcentral